This 301-nucleotide ribosomal RNA is filed under the name uncultured bacterium. RNAcentral's name for it is "partial 16S ribosomal RNA". It matches the Rfam family "Bacterial small subunit ribosomal RNA", at positions 509 to 809 of the family's 1533-position model. The record is from RNAcentral.
CAGUCGCCGCGGGAAUACGAAGGGGGCUAGCGUUGCUCGGAAUGACUGGGCGUAAAGGGCGCGUAGGCGGCGGCCAAAGUCAGGCGUGAAAUUCCCGGGCUCAACCUGGGGGCUGCGUUUGAUACUUGGUUGCUUGAGUGGGGAAGAGGGUCGUGGAAUUCCCAGUGUAGAGGUGAAAUUCGUAGAUAUUGGGAAGAACACCGGUGGCGAAGGCGGCGACCUGGUCCUUUACUGACGCUGAGGCGCGAAAGCGUGGGGAGCAAACAGGAUUAGAUACCCCGGUAGUCCCUGUCUCUUAUAU